ACUCGGCUCCUUCAAGUAAACACACGCGCUCACGCACACAUGCAUCAAACUACGCUCAUUUUCGUUAGUAUCUCACGGGGCCUCGUACAGUAACUUUGCCUUCAAAAUGCCUUUCUUAUAUAAUUAAAUGGUGCAAAAACAAUACCAAAGUGAAUAAAAAGUCUGAAAAAAUAUCGUUUCACACGUUUCCAACGAAUAUUUUAAUAGACGAAUAUUUUUUUGAAUGGGUAGCUGCUUUACGACUGAGCCGACAUGAACUACAACGACAGCCAUCCUCAUCUAGUUGGACCUACCGGAUGAGUCUAAAUCAGUCGUUAACCAAGAUUCAAUCUUUGAUACACCUAGAAAACAUAAACUAAGAGAAAAGUUAAAAAAACAGGAACUUAAUUUAAAAAAAAAUGUAAAAAUAAAAUCAAUUUAUUACAGCAAAGAGUUAGACGUCUUUAAAGCAGGAACUUGCCCCUCAGAGGAAUCAUCAAUUACUUAAAAACACAAGUUUUCAUUGACACAGAUUUAUAUAAUUAAAUAAAUCAAAACAUGGCUACAAUAGAUUUAUGUAACAAUUUGAAUCGAAAAAAGGAGUAAAUAUAUUUAAAACUAUAAACAGGUUUUUAUUUCCACAUACCCAUUUUACCUAUAGUAAAUUGUUUAAUAAAAAUUUUAGGGACUUUUUUUAAAAAGUGUCAACACUUCACUCACUCACACAUCUUUAAAAAAGUGGCUUCACUUU
RNAcentral lists this unclassified non-coding RNA (730 nucleotides) under Melitaea cinxia (Glanville fritillary). RNAcentral describes it as "misc RNA ENSMCXG00005020383.1". The record is from RNAcentral. Lineage: Eukaryota; Metazoa; Arthropoda; Insecta; Lepidoptera; Nymphalidae.